Aphis gossypii (cotton aphid) is the source of this 1005-nucleotide long non-coding RNA. RefSeq lists it as uncharacterized. The record is from RefSeq and is a predicted model, not a curated record. The transcript is spliced from 4 exons. NCBI's taxonomy places the organism in Eukaryota, Metazoa, Arthropoda, Insecta, Hemiptera, Aphididae.
UCUUUAGUUCUGAACAAUAUUGUCAAUAUUAUUAGGUAUAAUAAUUAUAUAGUUUUUUUAUUUAAAUUAUUUAAAUACAAAAUAUUAUGAUAGUUUGUUCUAAAGAACAUAAAUAAAGAUAUAACACUAAGACGUGAUAAGUUUAUUUGGAUUUAAAUGAGUGUAUCUUACACAGUUCCUUUAUAGACAUUAUGAAUACCUCUGAUUUAAAAGUUGCAGAAAGGAUGAAUAAAAUUAAAAUAAAAUUUCGUCUGAAGAACAAAUUAGAUGACUAUCACAAUAUAAAGGAUGGAUGAGUUUUAUAAAAUAUAAGGCCAAUGCUUAGGUAUAUGACGUGAAAGUUAGAAUGUAUAAUAAAGUUGUUAUUGUUACAAACUCUGAAACUCUACACAUAUUAUAACCAGUGAAAAUGAAGAAAUUGAGAUAGUUGAAGGAUUAUAUACAUACAAUUAUGUUGUAUACAGUACUUCUUGGACAAUUUAUGGAGACUAGAGGAUAUGUUGAAUAAGGUAUGGCAUGAUAACUAUUGUUCAGCUUCAGACUUGCUCACAGUUCACGGGAUUUUACAUGCAGUAUUCAGUACUAAACAAAUAGCUAUCAAUACAUUAUCAAUUCUGUGUGCAUGUUCAUUCAUGUGUUACUAAUUGGUAAAUUUCUAUUGCUUUUAAUGCAUCAUUAUAAUAAACAACCACAACUAAAAAAUAAAUAUCCAGUAACAAUUCAAUAAAGCACUAUAAGAUCAAAACCCAUGGACGAAUUCACAUGUUGAACCAAUUGUGCAAAACCUAAUGUUUGCAUGCAGCCUCAGAAUAUCAGUUUUCAUUUUUUUAUUCUUUACAUAAAUUAGUUUAUAAGUAUUAAACACAAUAGAAUUUCUUGAAAAGUUUUAAUAGCAUUAUAUUAUUAAUCUUUAUGAAUCUAUUUUUUCUUAUAUUAAAAAUGUUUGAACAUAUUAAGAUAUUUUAAUUUCACAUACCUAAUUAUAAAAUAUAUUUAUACAUAAUA